Long non-coding RNA from Delphinapterus leucas (beluga whale), 517 nucleotides. RefSeq lists it as uncharacterized. The record is from RefSeq and is a predicted model, not a curated record. Lineage: Eukaryota; Metazoa; Chordata; Mammalia; Artiodactyla; Monodontidae.
GGGCCCGCCCGAUGCGCUGGGGGAAAAUACUGGAGCGCGGGCCCCCACGGGCCCACGGGGAGGCGAAGGGCAGAAGCGGGGGCCUUUCGAGCCAGCCUGAGCCUGAGUGCAAGCUCUGUCCCUCAAGCUCAGGACUAGGCGCUUUUGGGCGCAAAGCGAGUCGCCCACAGAACUCGCGCGCUGGAGGAACCUGAGUCUGGGAGGGGAGAGAUUUGGAGAAACCGCAUCUCAGCUCCACGAAGGCAGUGGUUUUUGUCUGUUCUCUGCUGUAUUCCCAGUGCCUGAAAUGUGGUUGGCAGGAAACAUUCGUUUUGGCCACACAUGAACGUGUGGGCACGCAGGCGUGUGUGUGCGUCUCUGUGUGUGCAUGCACUGGAUCUUUAUGCAAAGGAUGUAUGGGAACCACAGAAGGUUUUCCCACUUGGAUCUAUUAACUGCAGGACGGGCGACCUUCACAGGGCCACAGCCUGUCGUAACAAACUGGUGAGUAAAGCCAAAGAUGGCUGUGAGGUUCCCU